ACACGGACCAAGGAGUGCAACAUGUGCGCGAGCCGCCUGGCAAGUAAACCAGAAGGCGCAAUGAAAGUGAAGGCACGGCCGCCGUGCUGAGGUGAGAGCUGCCCCCGGGCGGCACAUCAUCGACCGAUCCUAUCCGCUCCCUCGUGGUGCGGCGGGAUUCGAGUAAGAGUGCAUCUGUUGCGACCCGAAAGAUGGUGAACUAUGCCUGAAUAGGGUGAAGCCAGAGGAAACUCUGGUGGAGGCCCGUAGCGAUUCUGACGUGCAAAUCGAUCGUCAAAUUUGGGUAUAGGGGCGAAAGACUAAUCGAACCAUCUAGUAGCUGGUUCCCUCCGAAGUUUCCCUCAGGAUAGCUGUAGCCCGAAGCAGUUUUAUCAGGUAAAGCGAAUGAUUAGAGGUAUCGGGGAAGAAACUUCCUCGACCUAUUCUCAAACUUUAAAUAGGUAAGAAGUCCGACUUGCUCAAUUUGAAGCCGGACACAGAAUGCUGGGUUACUAGUGGGCCAUUUUUGGUAAGCAGAACUGGCGAUGCGGGAUGAACCGAACGCCGAGUUAAGGUGCCAAAGUCGACGCUCAUCAGAUCCCACAAAAGGUGUUGGUUGAUAUAGACAGCAGGACGGUGGCCAUGGAAGUCGGAAUCCGCUAAGGAGUGUGUAACAACU
RNAcentral lists this ribosomal RNA (658 nucleotides) under Phyllospongia foliascens. Its description in RNAcentral is "Carteriospongia foliascens partial large subunit ribosomal RNA". It matches the Rfam family "Eukaryotic large subunit ribosomal RNA", at positions 659 to 1290 of the family's 3401-position model. Lineage: Eukaryota; Metazoa; Porifera; Demospongiae; Dictyoceratida; Thorectidae. The record is from RNAcentral.